GGUCCCUUCGUCUAGUGGUUAGGACACCGGGUUUUCAUCUCGGCAACAGGAGUUCGACUCUCCUAGGGACUACCA
This 75-nucleotide transfer RNA is filed under the name bacterium. RNAcentral describes it as "tRNA-Glu". It matches the Rfam family "tRNA". From Rfam's summary of the family: Transfer RNA (tRNA) molecules are approximately 80 nucleotides in length. Their secondary structure includes four short double-helical elements and three loops (D, anti-codon, and T loops). The record is from RNAcentral. RNAcentral also lists the same sequence under 1 other name.